Molecule: non-coding RNA, 81 nt
Organism: Myotis lucifugus (little brown bat)
Lineage: Eukaryota; Metazoa; Chordata; Mammalia; Chiroptera; Vespertilionidae
Source: Rfam
AGGCCUGGAGAGAGAGGCAGGGUCUGAUCCACAGCCCUCGUGGUAGCUGUUGAUCAGCCAUUGCCUCUCUCUUUCUCUCCA